GCGGUGUCGCGUAUAGGCGUAACCGUCCGAUGUUGGCAAUGUCUGAAGUUCGCUGGAAGGCAACUUCCCAGUGAGGGUGUUAGGCCCGUUCGGAUUGCGCUAAUGUUGGUUGGGUGCGUCUUGGAGUAGAGUUGCUUGGAAGUGCAGCUCGAAGCGGGUGUUAUACCACAUCCAAGGCUAAAUAUGACCACUUAUCCGAUAGCAAACAAGUACCGUGAGGGAAAGUUGCAAAGUACUUUGAAGAGAGAGUUAAAGAGGACGUGAAACUGGUAGUGGUGAAGCAGAUAGCGUUGACGACGCCGGCGGUAUUCAGUAUUGGCGCACUGUGAUCCUUCUUGCGUGUAUUGCUCUGCAAUGCCACAGGGAGGUUGUCGCGGUGUGUUCGGUGCGGUCUUGCUGUCGGUAUACGUUGAGAUGCUCGGGUGCCCCUGCGAACCUUACGUCGUGUGGCCCACUUCGGUGGUAACUUGCGUGUGAGGUGCGUGGAUGUGGUGCCUGGGUGGCUCUUGUGUGUAAACCCCGCCUUUGCGUUCGCUGCUUGUGUGCUUAUUGUCGGCGUCGGAUGAAGCAUUUAUGUUUCGCUGGCUGUUGGCGGUAGGCGCGUGAGUGGCGUGACGUCGGGUUUACUCUCGGCGUUGUGGAAGUCAAUCACCUAUCUGUCCCGUCUUGAAACACGGACCAAGAAGUCUAGUACUUGCGCGAGUCACUGAGUGCGAAAACUCACUGGCGAAAUGAAAGUGAAGGCCUGUUUUCACAGUCUGAUACGUGAUCCGUGGCUUGUCUGCGGCGCAGCGUAGCCCCAUGUCGUCUGCAUGCAGUGAUGUGGAGGUAGAGCGUAAGUACUGGGACCCGAAAGAUGGUGAACUAUGCCUGAGCAGGACGAAGCCAGAGGAAACUCUGGUGGAAGUCCGAAGCGGUUCUGACGUGCAAAUCGAUCGCCAGACUUGGGUAUAGGGGCGAAAGACUAAUCGAACCAUCUAGUAGCUGGUUCCCUCCGAAGUUUCCCCCAGGAUAGCUGGAGUACGUAGAGUUGCUAUACCUUGUAAAGUUAAUGAUUAGAGGAUCGGGGGACGAAAUGUCCUCAACCUAUUAUCAAACUUGUAAUGGGUAUGAAGCUGCGAUUGCUUUGUUGAACCGUGGCAGCGAGAAAGUGCUCCAAGUGGGCCAUUUUUGGUAAGCAGAACUGGCGAUGCGGGAUGAACCGAACGUUGGGUUAAGGUGCCUAACUUCUUGCUCAUGAGACCCCAGGAAAGGUGUUAGUUGAUAUUGACAGCAGGACGGUGGCCAUGGAAGUCGGUAUCCGCUAAGGAGUGUGUAACAACUCACCUGCCGAAUCAACUAGCCCUGAAAAUGGAUGGCGCUUGAGCGGGAGACCUAUACCCAACCGUUGUUGGCUUGUACGAAAUGGUGACGUCUGGCCUCAACGAGUAGGAGGGUGCAGCGGUGUGCGUUGAAGGCUUAGGGCGUGAGCCCGGCUGGAGCCGCCGUUGGUACAGAUCUUGGUGGUAGUAGCAAAUAUGAAAGUUAAAAACCUUCAGACUGAAGUGGAGAAGGGUUCCGCGAGAACCGUAAUGGUUCGCGGGUUAGUCGGCCCUAAGCCAGCGCCGAAAGGCUUGUUGAUUGUGAGGAUGGAGCUUGCUUCUUUCUCGAUUGGCGAAAGGGAACCAGGUUAAUAUUCCUGGACCGAGAUAAAGGUUUGGUAUUCGCAAGAAUGCCCACAGCGGUGACGCUUUCGAACUCGACGACGCUGCGUACUGUCCGAGCUAGAGAUAUCUUCUCUAGUUAAGGAACGGAACCCCUUGAAUCGGCCCAGCCGGAGAUAGGGGCGUUGUUUCCGUAAAGCACCGCGGUUUCUGUGGUGUCUCGUGUGCAGUGCGCGGCCCUUGAAAAGGCGAGGGAGUAGUGUGACCUUUACUCGACCGUACCCAUAUCCGCAGCAGGUCUCCAAGGUUUGCAGCCUCUAGUCGAUAGAAUAAAGUAGAUACGGGAAGUCGGCAAACUUGAGCCGUAACUUCGGGAAAAGGCUUGGCUCUGAGGACCGAGUCGUUCGGGCUUUGCUAUGAAGCUUGCGCGGCUGUGGCUUGGUUGGAUUCGACCUCGGUUGCGUCCGACCGAUGCUGCGGCUGCCUUGUGGACUUGCUUAGCUAUGUGCAUGCGUCUUCGGGCGUGUGUACUUCGGGCGGCACGCUUGAACGGUCAUCUCAGAACUGGUACGGACUCGGGGAAUCCGACUGUCUAAUUAAAACAAAGGAGAUAGAUGGUCCUUGUGGUCGUUGACUAUCUGUGAUUUCUGCCCAGUGCUCUGAAUGUUAAAGUGGAGUAAUUCGCUUAAGCGCGGGUAAACGGCGGGAGUAACUAUGACUCUCUUAAGGUAGCCAAAUGCCUCGUCAUCUAAUUAGUGACGCGCAUGAAUGGAUUAACGAGAUUCCCACUGUCCCUAUCUACUAUCUAGCGAAACCACAGCCAAGGGAACGGGCUUGGCAAAUACAGCGGGGAAAGAAGACCCUGUUGAGCUUGACUCUAGUUUGACUCUGUGACGAGUCUUGAGAGGUGUAGUAUAAGUGGGAGGCUUCGGCCGCAAUUGAAAUACCACUACUUUCAUUGAUUCUUUACUUAUUCGGUAAUACGAGGAUUGAGCUUUCGGGCUCUUCCUUCUUGUGUUAAGCGAUGGCACGUGGUGUCGUUGUGACUCGGACCGAAGACACUGUCAGACUGGGAGUUUGACUGGGGCGGUACAUCUAUCAAACUGUAACGUAGGUGUCCUAAGGCGUGCUCAGAGAGGACGGAAACCUCUCGUAGAGUAAAAGGGCAAAAGCCCGCUUGAUCUUGAUUUUCAGUACUAAUACAGACCGCGAAAGCGGGGCCUAUCGAUCCUUAAAAUCUUGAUGGUUUCAAGUUUGAGGUGUCAGAAAAGUUACCACAGGGAUAACUGGCUUGUGGCAGCCAAGCGUCCAUAGCGACGUUGCUUUUUGAUCCUUCGAUGUCGGCUCUUCCUAUCAUUGCGAAGCAGAAUUCUCAAAGUGUUGGAUUGUUCACCCACUAAUAGGGAACGUGAGCUGGGUUUAGACCGUCGUGAGACAGGUUAGUUUUACCCUACUGUAGACGCGUCGUUAAGACAGUAAUCUUAUUCAGUACGAGAGGAACCGUAAAUUCAGACAAUUGGUUCAUGCGGCUAUCCGAGAGGAUAAUGCUGCGAAGCUAUCAUCUGCGGGAUUAUCACUGAAAGCCUCUAAGUGAGAACCCCAUCUGGUCAGGUAUUUACCGAUAAUGUUGCUUCCCGGUGUCGGGAGGCACUCUUAAGUGGUCGCAAGGCCACUGCUUAUGCCCUAUUCGAUGACCUUGCCUGCUCGGGGAAUCCGGGCAGGUUGUCAAUGCCGGAUCACUCCGGUUCAAUGUCGGGGCGCAAGAUCGAUUGCAUACGACUUUCUUACUGGUCAAGGUGUUGUAUUCAGUAGAGC
This 3458-nucleotide ribosomal RNA is filed under the name Sudhausia aristotokia. RNAcentral's name for it is "eukaryotic LSU rRNA". It matches the Rfam family "Eukaryotic large subunit ribosomal RNA". The record is from RNAcentral. Lineage: Eukaryota; Metazoa; Nematoda; Chromadorea; Rhabditida; Diplogasteridae.